GGGGGAAUAGCUCAGCGGUAGAAUGUUUGUCUACAGUUCAAGUGGUCCUUGGUUCAAAUCCAAGUGCCCCCU
Molecule: non-coding RNA, 72 nt
Organism: Mauremys mutica (yellowpond turtle)
Lineage: Eukaryota; Metazoa; Chordata; Testudines; Geoemydidae
Source: the annotation of a RefSeq genome assembly